CAAGCUGACCGGGUGAUCGCGUCCUGCCGCGUUGCAGGAUGAGGAAAGUCCGCGCUCCAUAGGGCACGGUGCUGGCUAACAGCCAGGCGGGGCGACCCGACGGCAUAGUGCAACAGAGAGGCGUAUUGCCCCUUCGCUGAAGGGGCGAGGGUGAAACGGUGCGGUAAGAGCGCACCGGCGUCGGUGGCGACACCGGCGGCCAGGCAAACCCCGCCGGGAGCAAGACCAAGCAGGAACGAGGGGCGGCCCGUCCCGUUAUCAGUUCCGGGUAGGUUGCUUGAGGCGUCGAGCAAUCGGCGUCCCAGAUAGAUGAUCACCGCCCGCGCAGCGGGUACAGAACGCGGCUUAUAGGUCAACUUGAGUC
This 364-nucleotide RNase P RNA is filed under the name Anaerolineae bacterium. Its description in RNAcentral is "RNase P RNA component class A". It matches the Rfam family "Bacterial RNase P class A". From Rfam's summary of the family: Ribonuclease P (RNase P) is a ubiquitous endoribonuclease, found in archaea, bacteria and eukarya as well as chloroplasts and mitochondria. Its best characterised activity is the generation of mature 5'-ends of tRNAs by cleaving the 5'-leader elements of precursor-tRNAs. Lineage: Bacteria; Bacillati; Chloroflexota; Anaerolineae. The record is from RNAcentral.